GUGCCAGCCGCCGCGUAAUUCCAGCUCCAAUAGCGUAUAUUAAAGUUGUUGUGGUUAAAAAGCUCGUAGUUGAACCUUGGGCCUGGCUGGCCGGUCCGCCUCACCGCGUGCACUGGUCCGGCCGGGCCUUUCCCUCUGUGGAACCCCAUACCCUUCACUGGGCGUGGCGGGGAAACAGGACAUUUACUUUGAAAAAAUUAGAGUGCUCCAGGCAGGCCUAUGCUCGAAUACAUUAGCAUGGAAUAAUAAAAUAGGACGCGCGGUUCUAUUUUGUUGGUUUAUAGGACCGCCGUAAUGAUUAAUAGGGACAGUCGGGGGCAUCAGUAUUCAACUGUCAGAGGUGAAAUUCUUGGAUCAGUUGAAGACUAGCUACUGCGAAAGCAUUUGCCAAGGAUGUUUUCAUUAAUCAGGAACGAAAGUUAGGGGAUCGAAGACGAUCAGAUACCGUCGUAGUCUUAACCAUAAACUAUGCCGACUAGGGAUCGGACGGUGUUAUUCAUGACCCGUUCGGCACCUUACGAGAAAUCAAAGUGCUUGGGCUCCAGGGGGAGUAUGGUCGCAAGGCUGAAACUUAAAGAAAUUGACGGAAGGGCACCACCAGGGGUGGAGCCUGCGGCUUAAUUUGACUCAACACGGGGAAACUCACCAGGUCCAGACACAAUAAGGAUUGACAGAUUGAGAGCUCUUUCUUGAUUUUGUGGGUGGUGGUGCAUGGCCGUUCUUAGUUGGUGGGGUGACUUGUCUGCUUAAUUGCGAUAACGAACGAGACCUUAACCUGCUAAAUAGCCCGCAUUGCUCCGGCAGUGCGCUGGCUUCUUAGGAGGGACUUUCCGGCUCAAGCCGAAGGAAGUUU
RNAcentral lists this ribosomal RNA (853 nucleotides) under uncultured fungus. RNAcentral's name for it is "SSU rRNA". It matches the Rfam family "Eukaryotic small subunit ribosomal RNA", at positions 564 to 1446 of the family's 1831-position model. The record is from RNAcentral. Lineage: Eukaryota; Fungi.